GGGGACUCUUAGCUCAGUGGUAGAGCAUAUGCUUUGCACACAGAAGGUUCUUGGUUCAAUCCCUGGUAUCUCCA
Molecule: non-coding RNA, 74 nt
Organism: Podarcis lilfordi (Lilford's wall lizard)
Lineage: Eukaryota; Metazoa; Chordata; Lepidosauria; Squamata; Lacertidae
Source: the annotation of a GenBank genome assembly